AUUGAACGCUGGCGGCAUGCCUUACACAUGCAAGUCGAACGGCAGCACGGGAGCGAUCCUGGUGGCGAGUGGCGAACGGGUGAGUAAUAUAUCGGAACGUGCCCAGUCGUGGGGGAUAACGUAGCGAAAGCUACGCUAAUACCGCAUACGAUCUAUGGAUGAAAGCGGGGGAUCGCAAGACCUCGCGCGAUUGGAGCGGCCGAUAUCAGAUUAGGUAGUUGGUGAGGUAAAGGCUCACCAAGCCGACGAUCUGUAGCUGGUCUGAGAGGACGACCAGCCACACUGGGACUGAGACACGGCCCAGACUCCUACGGGAGGCAGCAGUGGGGAAUUUUUGGACAAUGGGCGCAAGCCUGAUCCAGCAAUGCCGCGUGCAGGAUGAAGGCCUCGGUUGUUAACGUUA
This 403-nucleotide ribosomal RNA is filed under the name uncultured bacterium. Its description in RNAcentral is "bacterial SSU rRNA". It matches the Rfam family "Bacterial small subunit ribosomal RNA", at positions 30 to 435 of the family's 1533-position model. The record is from RNAcentral.